UUUGCUUGCAUCUUUGUGAGUGCAGAUGAUCUUCUUUUCUUCUCUUGGUCUCUUGGGUAGGGGUGCAUAAUCAAAAUCUCAGGGGGUGCAAAUUGCAAAAAAAAAAUGAUUAUAUGUGUAAUUUUCAGAAGUUCAGGGUGUGUAGCUGCACACCCUCACAUAGACGUAGAUCCGCCCCGGUGGUCGGAUACCAAGUUUUCAAAAAAAAAAAGUUAGGUACAAACUUAAUUUUGGUGUUCAAGCAAGGGAUUUAAAAUUCACUACAACCUUUAUAAGUGAAUUCAUAACCUAAACAAAUUCCUUUUAAAGAAAUCUCAUUACCCAACUUAAUAUUGUAUCAUUAUUAUGACAUAAAUAUAAAAUUAUAGGCUCAGAACUUAUAACGUAAAAAUUAAUUAUCAACUUAACCAGAAAAAAAUUUGAUAUGUGUGAAUGGAUACAAGAUGAUAUCUCAAAGUUAAGAU
This 464-nucleotide long non-coding RNA is filed under the name Trifolium pratense (red clover). Its description in RNAcentral is "long non-coding RNA (TPRA_LNC008812)". Lineage: Eukaryota; Viridiplantae; Streptophyta; Magnoliopsida; Fabales; Fabaceae. The record is from RNAcentral.